UUUUUUUCUGAUGUUAUCUUGGUUAGUGUUAUCUUCCUCUCUAUGUUGCUUUAUAUAUUUCAUUGGAUUCAAAUUUUAUGUUUUUUGACAUAAUUUGUGAUAUGUAUCAAUUUAAUAUUACCGUAGCAAUUUAACAGGGGUCCAGUGCAUAAUAUAUGAAUCUGACAGCCAACACAAGAACCUGGUCUUUCCACUUUAGACGCACUUCGAGAAGCUGGGAAGAGAUCUCUGCCAGGGAAUUAACUGAGAUGCUGAACAGAGCUAAAUUUAUUGAAGGUCAAGACUCAAGGCUCUGAUAGGGAUCCAACCCAGGGUAUUU
This 319-nucleotide long non-coding RNA is filed under the name Aquilegia coerulea. Its description in RNAcentral is "long non-coding RNA (ACOE_LNC001765)". Lineage: Eukaryota; Viridiplantae; Streptophyta; Magnoliopsida; Ranunculales; Ranunculaceae. The record is from RNAcentral.